This 72-nucleotide transfer RNA is filed under the name Danio rerio (zebrafish). Its description in RNAcentral is "tRNA-Arg (ACG) (tRNA-Arg-ACG-9-1)". It matches the Rfam family "tRNA". Rfam says of the family: Transfer RNA (tRNA) molecules are approximately 80 nucleotides in length. The record is from Rfam by way of RNAcentral. Lineage: Eukaryota; Metazoa; Chordata; Actinopteri; Cypriniformes; Danionidae.
GGCUCGUUGGUCUAGGGGUAUGAUUCUCGCUUACGGUGGGAGAGGUCCCGGGUUCAAAUCCCGGAUGAGCCC